RNAcentral lists this ribosomal RNA (749 nucleotides) under Staphylococcus aureus. RNAcentral's name for it is "bacterial SSU rRNA". It matches the Rfam family "Bacterial small subunit ribosomal RNA", at positions 92 to 828 of the family's 1533-position model. The record is from RNAcentral. Lineage: Bacteria; Bacillati; Bacillota; Bacilli; Caryophanales; Staphylococcaceae.
UUAGCGGCGGACGGGUGAGUAACACGUGGAUAACCUACCUAUAAGACUGGGAUAACUUCGGGAAACCGGAGCUAAUACCGGAUAAUAUUUUGAACCGCAUGGUUCAAAAGUGAAAGACGGUCUUGCUGUCACUUAUAGAUGGAUCCGCGCUGCAUUAGCUAGUUGGUAAGGUAACGGCUUACCAAGGCAACGAUGCAUAGCCGACCUGAGAGGGUGAUCGGCCACACUGGAACUGAGACACGGUCCAGACUCCUACGGGAGGCAGCAGUAGGGAAUCUUCCGCAAUGGGCGAAAGCCUGACGGAGCAACGCCGCGUGAGUGAUGAAGGUCUUCGGAUCGUAAAACUCUGUUAUUAGGGAAGAACAUAUGUGUAAGUAACUGUGCACAUCUUGACGGUACCUAAUCAGAAAGCCACGGCUAACUACGUGCCAGCAGCCGCGGUAAUACGUAGGUGGCAAGCGUUAUCCGGAAUUAUUGGGCGUAAAGCGCGCGUAGGCGGUUUUUUAAGUCUGAUGUGAAAGCCCACGGCUCAACCGUGGAGGGUCAUUGGAAACUGGAAAACUUGAGUGCAGAAGAGGAAAGUGGAAUUCCAUGUGUAGCGGUGAAAUGCGCAGAGAUAUGGAGGAACACCAGUGGCGAAGGCGACUUUCUGGUCUGUAACUGACGCUGAUGUGCGAAAGCGUGGGGAUCAAACAGGAUUAGAUACCCUGGUAGUCCACGCCGUAAACGAUGAGUGCUAAGUGUUAGGG